GAUGAAGAACGCAGCGAAAUGCGAUAAGUAAUGUGAAUUGCAGAAUUCAGUGAAUCAUCGAAUCUUUGAACGCACAUUGCGCCCCCUGGUAUUCCGGGGGGCAUGCCUGUUCGAGCGUCAUUUCACCACUCAAGCCUCGCUUGGUAUUGGGCAACGCGGUCCGCUGCGUGCCUCAAAUCGACCGGCUGGGUCUUCUGUCCCCUAAGCGUUGUGGAAACUAUUCGCUAAAGGGUGUUCGGGAGGCUACGCCGUAAAACAACCCCAUUUCUAAGGUUGACCUCGGAUCAGGUAGGGAUACCCGCUGAACUUAAGCAUAUCAAUAAGCGGAGGA
RNAcentral lists this unclassified non-coding RNA (331 nucleotides) under soil metagenome. RNAcentral describes it as "partial contains 5.8S ribosomal RNA, internal transcribed spacer 2, and large subunit ribosomal RNA". The stretch from base 1 to 120 matches the Rfam family "5.8S ribosomal RNA", at positions 35 to 154 of the family's 154-position model. The record is from RNAcentral.